This 253-nucleotide ribosomal RNA is filed under the name uncultured bacterium. Its description in RNAcentral is "partial 16S ribosomal RNA". It matches the Rfam family "Bacterial small subunit ribosomal RNA", at positions 524 to 776 of the family's 1533-position model. The record is from RNAcentral.
UACGGGGGGGGCAAGCGUUGUUCGGAAUUACUGGGCGUAAAGGGCUCGUAGGCGGCCAACUAAGUCAGACGUGAAAUCCCUCGGCUUAACCGGGGAACUGCGUCUGAUACUGGAUGGCUUGAGUGUGGGAGAGGGAUGCGGAAUUCCAGGUGUAGCGGUGAAAUGCGUAGAUAUCGAGAGGAACACCUGCGGCGAAGGCGGGUUGCUGGGCUGAUACUGACGCUGAUGCGCGAAAGCCAGGGGAGCGAACGGG